GUCUUCUUGGUUAAAUAAGAAGUCUGACCUGCCCGGUGAAUAAGUAUUUAACGGCCGCGGUAUUUUGACCGUGCAAAGGUAGCAUAAUCAUUAGUCUUUUAAUAGAGGGCUGGAAUGAAGGGUUUGACGAAAUGCAUACUGUCUCAUUUAAUUUGAAAUUUGAAUUUGACUUUUUAGUUAAAAGGCUAAAUUGUUAUUGGAAGACGAGAAGACCCUAUAGAGCUUUAUAUUCCAAAAUUUAAAGAAUUUUUGUUUAAUUAUUAUUUUUUAAAUGGGAGAAUAUUUUGUUGGGGUGACAAAAACAUAUAAUAAACUUUUUUAUUUAAGUAACAUUGAUAUAUGAACAUUAGAUCCAUUAUUAUUGAUUGUUAGAGAAAGUUACCUUAGGGAUAACAGCGUAAUCUUCCUUCAGAGUUCAAAUUUACAGGAAGGCUUGCGACCUCGAUGUUGGAUUAAGAUAAUAAUUAGGUGCAGCCGCUUAAUUAAUAGGUCUGUUCGACCUUUAAAUUCUU
This 512-nucleotide ribosomal RNA is filed under the name Chlorogomphus owadai. Its description in RNAcentral is "Chloropetalia owadai partial 16S ribosomal RNA". It matches the Rfam family "Bacterial large subunit ribosomal RNA", at positions 1819 to 2597 of the family's 2925-position model. The record is from RNAcentral. Lineage: Eukaryota; Metazoa; Arthropoda; Insecta; Odonata; Chlorogomphidae.